This 476-nucleotide ribosomal RNA is filed under the name Rhipicephalus sp. Tchien14. RNAcentral describes it as "partial small subunit ribosomal RNA". The record is from RNAcentral. Lineage: Eukaryota; Metazoa; Arthropoda; Arachnida; Ixodida; Ixodidae.
UACAAAUAGAAAAAUUCUUUUUUUAAGAAAUUUAAUAAAAAAAAUAUUUAAAAAUUAUUAAAAAUUAAGGUGAAAUUUAUUUUUAAAAAAAAAAUAAAAAUAUAAUUAAAAUUCUAAGAUUAAACUAGGAUUAGAUACCCUAUUAUUUAAGAGCUUAACAUUGUAAGUAAAUAAUAAUUAUGAAAGCAAAAAAUUAUGGCGGUAUUUUAAGCUUUUCAGAGGAAUUUGCUCUUUAAUGGAUAAAACACCAAAAUCUUACUUAGAUUUGUGAUUUCAAUUUGUAUACCACUAUUAAAACAAUUUAUAACUUUAAUUGUUUAAAUUUAUAAAACUAAAAUAUAUUAAGUCAAGGUGCAGUAAAAAUUUAAGGAUGAAGUGAAUUACAUUACUUUUUAGUGAGAUAAAUUUAUAACAAUAUUUAGGAUUUGAAAGUAAAAUUAAAAUAGGAUGUUAAUUUGAAUUAAGCUCUAAAAUAU